This 704-nucleotide ribosomal RNA is filed under the name uncultured bacterium. RNAcentral describes it as "bacterial SSU rRNA". It matches the Rfam family "Bacterial small subunit ribosomal RNA", at positions 215 to 916 of the family's 1533-position model. The record is from RNAcentral.
CCGGUCAGGGAUGGGCUCGCGGCCUAUCAGCUUGUUGAUGGGGUAACGGCCUACCAAGGCGAUGACGGGUAGCCGGCCUGAGAGGGCGACCGGCCACACUGGGACUGAGACACGGCCCAGACUCCUGCGGGAGGCAGCAGUGGGGAAUAUUGCGCAAUGGGCGGAAGCCUGACGCAGCGACGCCGCGUGGGGGAUGAAGGCCUUCGGGUUGUAAACCUCUUUUACCACUCACGAAGGCCCCUGGUUUUCUGGGGGUUGACGGUAGGUGGUGAAUAAGGACCGGCUAACUACGUGCCAGCAGCCGCGGUAAUACGUAGGGUCCGAGCGUUGUCCGGAAUUAUUGGGCGUAAAGAGCUCGUAGGCGGCCUGUCGCGUCUGUUGUGAAAGUCCGGGGCUUAACUCCGGGUGUGCAGUGGAUACGGGCAGGCUUGAGGUAGGUAGGGGAGACUGGAAUUCCUGGUGUAGCGGUGAAAUGCGCAGAUAUCAGGAGGAACACCGGUGGCGAAGGCGGGUCUCUGGGCCUUACCUGACGCUGAGGAGCGAAAGCGUGGGGAGCGAACAGGAUUAGAUACCCUGGUAGUCCACGCCGUAAACGUUGGGCGCUAGGUGUGGGGACUUUCCACGGUUUCCGUGCCGUAGCUAACGCAUUAAGCGCCCCGCCUGGGGAGUACGGCCGCAAGGCUAAAACUCAAAUGAAUUGACGG